UAACAUAGAUUGUCUUCUAAUUAGACAUUUAUGCAAGUUAAAGGACUAUGUUUGUAACAAUGCAAAGCUAGAAGGAUCUAUUACAGAAGGAUAUUUAAUAGAUUGGUGUUUAACUUUUUACUCCUAAUACUUGCAUAGAGUCGAAAGAGUAUUCAAUUGAGAUGAGAGAAAUCACAAUAGAGGUUCAGCUUCAAAUGGCCCAUAUCAACUUUCAAUAUUUCCUACACUCAUUCGUCAUUCAAGAAGAGCAAAUAUUUGUGAAUUGAAUGGCGACCUAUGGAAUGCUACUACACUUUAUGUCCUAUAUAAUUGCAAUG
RNAcentral lists this long non-coding RNA (317 nucleotides) under Elaeis guineensis (African oil palm). Its description in RNAcentral is "long non-coding RNA (EGUI_LNC033245)". Lineage: Eukaryota; Viridiplantae; Streptophyta; Magnoliopsida; Arecales; Arecaceae. The record is from RNAcentral.